GAUGAACGCUAGCGAUAGGCCUAACACAUGCAAGUCGAGGGGCAGCAUAGAGUAGCAAUACUUUGAUGGCGACCGGCGCACGGGUGAGUAAAACGUAUGCAACCUACCUACAUCAGGGGAAUAACCCGGAGAAAUUCGAACUAAUACCGCAUAAUACACGGAUGCCGCAUGGCAAUAAUUGGUUAAGAUUUAUUGGAUGUUGAUGGGCAUGCGUUCCAUUAGCAGGUUGGUAAUGUAAAGGCAUACCAAGGCAACGAUGGAUAGGGGAACUGAGAGGUAUGUCCCCCACACUGGAACUGAGACACGGACCAGACUCCUACGGGAGGCAGCAGUGAGGAAUACUGGUCAAUGGACGAGAGUCUGAACCAGCCAAAUCGCGUGAAGGAAGACUGCCCUACGGGUUGUAAACUUCUUUUGUACAGGAAUAAAAGACAUUACGUGUAAUGUAUUGCAUGUACUGUACGAAUCAGCAUCGGCUAACUCCGUGCCAGCAGCCGCGGUAA
Molecule: ribosomal RNA, 503 nt
Filed under: uncultured bacterium
Lineage: Bacteria
Description: partial 16S ribosomal RNA
Rfam family: Bacterial small subunit ribosomal RNA
Source: RNAcentral